UAUCAUACGAAUAGACAGAAUAGGGAAGAAAAUAAUAAUAAAGAGAUCCUCAAAUUACAAAAGGUUGGUCUUUCCAUUAAUUCAUGAAACAUAUUUCUAACUAGUUGGCAUCUCAAAACGGCAAAUUGGACAAUAAUGACUUGUUUUCAACCAUUUUAUAAUGCAAUUACCAUGAAAGAUAUGAGAGCAUGGCAUAUAUGUAACUUUAUAUCUUUUGGAGAACUCGUCCAAGCAUAUUGUACAAUACUCAGAAUUACCAUUCUCGUCAUCUAAUUUCUUCCUCUUGAGUUCUUUGAUUGAUGAGUUACUAGCCGGAAUCAUAUUAUGCUGCAAUAUCUCAUUAAACAUCUGUGAUUCACCAACAGUAAGAUUAUAUAUCGUAUAUACAUCAACAUCGAUAAAUAAAACAUAAUGACCAGGAGACAUAGAUUUUGCCAUUGCUCUUGUUUUCGAGAACACUUCUUUAAUCAUAUUUUCUCGAUGACAUUUACACAGUGGCCAAGUUUUGAUAGCAUCAAUGAUGAUUUUACGUGUCUUUCUAUAUGACGAGAACUGUUCAGGUUCCACCAGUAUGUAAGCUAACAUUUCUUGCAGUUGAAUUUCUUCUACGACUUGUUCGCCUUGUCUAAAAUUGGUCAAACAACACGUGCUUUUCCAAGAAAAAUCGUACAAGAUUUGAAAGGAGGAGGACAUGAGUGGGUUGUGGCAUGCAACUUCUUCUUCUCCCCUCUUUGUAAUUUCAAGGUAUACAUCUUUAUGGAAUUGAUAGUUACUAACCAUGUUAUAAAGAGAGAGAGGGAACCAAUAAGAAA
Molecule: long non-coding RNA, 812 nt
Filed under: Olea europaea subsp. europaea
Lineage: Eukaryota; Viridiplantae; Streptophyta; Magnoliopsida; Lamiales; Oleaceae
Source: RNAcentral